UACGUAGAUGGCGAGCGUUGUCCGGAAUUACUGGGUGUAAAGGGAGUGUAGGCGGGAUUGCAAGUUGAAUGUGAAAGGUGUGGGCUCAACCCACAGAGUGCGUUCAAAACUUCAGUUCUUGAGUGAAGUAGAGGCAGGCGGAAUUCCCGGUGUAGCGGUGGAAUGCGUAGAUAUCGGGAGGAACACCAGUGGCGAAGGCGGCCUGCUGGACUUUUACUGACGCUGAGGCUCGAAAGCAUGGGUAGCAAACAGGAUUAGAUACCCUGGUAGUCCAUGCCGUAAACGAUGAUUACUAGGUGUGGGAGGAUUGACCCCUUCCGUGCCGGAGUUAACACAUUAAGUAAUCCACCUGGGGAGUACGACCGCAAGGUUGAA
This 375-nucleotide ribosomal RNA is filed under the name uncultured bacterium. RNAcentral describes it as "bacterial SSU rRNA". It matches the Rfam family "Bacterial small subunit ribosomal RNA", at positions 524 to 898 of the family's 1533-position model. The record is from RNAcentral.